UAGCAAUUAGUGACUAUUUUUGUGACUUGAGAUGAUUUGGGUAUUCAGUAGGAGAGGAUCACAAAAAGUUCACCAAAAAUAUGUGGUGAAGGCAAGCAC
This is a long non-coding RNA of Rhagoletis zephyria (snowberry fruit fly), 99 nucleotides long. RefSeq lists it as uncharacterized. The record is from RefSeq and is a predicted model, not a curated record. Lineage: Eukaryota; Metazoa; Arthropoda; Insecta; Diptera; Tephritidae.